GACGAACGCUGGCGGCGUGCCUAAUACAUGCAAGUCGAACGCUCUUUUCUUAUCGAACUUCGGUUCACCAAGAAAAGGGAGUGGCGAACGGGUGAGUAACACGUGGGUAACCUACCCAUCAGCGGGGGAUAACACUUGGAAACAGGUGCUAAUACCGCAUAACAAUCAGAAUCGCAUGAUUUUGAUUUGAAAGGCGCUUUUGCGUCACUUGAGGAUGGACCCGCGGUGCAUUAGCUA
RNAcentral lists this ribosomal RNA (237 nucleotides) under uncultured bacterium. RNAcentral's name for it is "partial 16S ribosomal RNA". It matches the Rfam family "Bacterial small subunit ribosomal RNA", at positions 28 to 247 of the family's 1533-position model. The record is from RNAcentral.